GAUGAACGCUGGCGGCGUGCCUAAUACAUGCAAGUCGAGCGAACAGACGAGGAGCUUGCUCCUCUGACGUUAGCGGCGGACGGGUGAGUAACACGUGGAUAACCUACCUAUAAGACUGGGAUAACUUCGGGAAACCGGAGCUAAUACCGGAUAAUAUAUUGAACCGCAUGGUUCAAUAGUGAAAGACGGUUUUGCUGUCACUUAUAGAUGGAUCCGCGCCGCAUUAGCUAGUUGGUAAGGUAACGGCUUACCAAGGCAACGAUGCGUAGCCGACCUGAGAGGGUGAUCGGCCACACUGGAACUGAGACACGGUCCAGACUCCUACGGGAGGCAGCAGGAGGGAAUCUUCCGCAAUGGGCGAAAGCUUGACGGAGCAACGCCGCGUGAGUGAUGAAGGUCUUCGGAUCGUAAAACUCUGUUAUUAGGGAAGAACAAAUGUGUAAGUAACUAUGCACGUCUUGACGGUACCUAAUCAGAAAGCCACGGCUAACUACGUG
Molecule: ribosomal RNA, 497 nt
Filed under: uncultured bacterium
Lineage: Bacteria
Description: partial 16S ribosomal RNA
Rfam family: Bacterial small subunit ribosomal RNA
Source: RNAcentral